Molecule: transfer RNA, 77 nt
Filed under: candidate division GN15 bacterium
Lineage: Bacteria
Also listed under: 3 other names
Description: tRNA-Met
Rfam family: tRNA
About the family: Transfer RNA (tRNA) molecules are approximately 80 nucleotides in length. Their secondary structure includes four short double-helical elements and three loops (D, anti-codon, and T loops).
Source: RNAcentral
CGCGGGGUGGAGCAGUCUGGUAGCUCGUCGGGCUCAUAACCCGAAGGUCAGGGGUUCAAAUCCCCUCCCCGCCACCA